RNAcentral lists this ribosomal RNA (255 nucleotides) under uncultured bacterium. RNAcentral describes it as "partial 16S ribosomal RNA". It matches the Rfam family "Bacterial small subunit ribosomal RNA", at positions 524 to 776 of the family's 1533-position model. The record is from RNAcentral.
UACGUAGGGUGCAAGCGUUUAAUCGGAAUUACUGGGCGUAAAGCGUGCGCAGGCGGUUUUGUAAGUCUGUCGUGAAAUCCCCGGGCUCAACCUGGGAAUUGCGAUGGAGACUGCAAGGCUAGAAUCUGGCAGAGGGGGGGUAGAAUUCCACGUGUAGCAGUGAAAUGCGUAGAGAUGUGGAGGAACACCGAUGGCGAAGGCAGCCCCCUGGGUCAAGAUUGACGCUCAUGCACGAAAGCGUGGGGAGCAACGAGG